AAUAUAUUAUACAUAGUGUAUAUAGUAGCCUAUGUACAAGGUGUGUGCAGCGUAUGCAUGGCCCCUCAUAUGAGUUUUCAUUUUUGAGCUGAAAACAGAUUUAAGAUUUAGGUGUGGGUUAGGGUUAGUCAAGCUGUAGUUAUGGUUAAGGUUAGGAAAAUAAUUUUGAGUCAAUGCAUUGUCCUCUAAAGUCACGGACACACGACUGCCGGAGGCACCUCAGCAGGAAUCUCUGCAGUCAAAUGAUUUCACAUUACCUUUUCUCCUUGGCUAUCUAAUGCUGCUCUUACAAAGAGCAGCAUUAGAGGAUGGUCAUACAUGCUGCGGACACGCACAUUACACACACAUACCCAGCCGGCCCACUCAUAUACCUAUAUAACCAACAGCAUUAAAAAAAACGUCAACCGGUUUGAAUGCUGUGGCCAAUAAAGGUGUGGGCUAUUGUGAAAGAGUUUGAGUUGAACCAGCAGUAGUGUGAUGAAAAACUUAAUUUGUAUUUUCUAUAUGAACAAGCUAAUCAAGUUUAGCUAUCCUCAAAAAAAAACUGAAAGCACAAAUUGUCAAACUUUGAUCAUCUGUCAGAAGUAAGUAAGUGAGCCUCUAAAGCCUUUUAUUUCUUUGUAACACCUUAAGCUGUUUAUUUGUCAUUAGAACGUCUGUAUUUCAACACAACACACACACACGUGCACACACGGACACACAUGGCAUCAAAGAUCCCCUCUUCCUUGCUCUGUGUCUCAUGAUCAAGCCUGAAAGUCAAGUGGUGGAACGUAUAAAACCAGUAGAGCAAGAAGAUCAGAAUUACCAGAGCAGCGAAGCUUGGGGCGCAAAGCCCCGAUGUGUUCCCCCCCCCACUUCCUCCCACUCAGUCUUCCUCUCUCAUCUGAUGCCACAUGAAGCCUGGCCCAGAGCCUUGCCUGAAACAUCGCUGCAGUGGCCCAUUAGGAGCAAUCCUCCAGACUAGAUUGGUGGGAGACACCUCGUGAAAAAGGCAAGGAUGAAACAACAGCGAGCAAUAACAAAAACAGGGGAGAGGAGGAUGGUGAUGGGCAUAUCUUUUAUCGUGCAACUUCCCCUUUCUGCUGAUCCAGGAGGUUCCACCAGGGCACAAAUUGGUUGCUCAGACUGAAUCUGGCUCCUGGAAGAAGAAGGAAAAAAGUGUCAGUGUGACUGUACAGUGCUGUGCUGAAAAGAUAAAAAUGGGAAGAUCGGGAGACAAAACUUGGCCUUGGCUCCAGUAAAGAAAGCAAGAGGAGGGAUCAGGGCGAUGAAACAGGAGAGAGCAGACGAAGUGACAACAGAGCUAACAACCCACCCAAUCCCUCACCAUCCGCAGCAACGACGCUCCCACCUCUGCAUUGUGAAUCAUUAGCAACAUAUAAUGAUCUGGAGUGUGUGGAGGCCUGGACAGUCCUGCAUAACCCGAUAUCACUACCAACAUACACACGCGCCCUCAGUGAGGGCUGCAGUCGGUGAAAUGCAGGCAGGUCUGGGUCACCCCCUCGCCUGUCUCUGCGGGGAAAAAAAAAGGGGGCAGAUGUGAUUGGCUGUGACAAAUCCUUGACAAGUAAUUGCUCUAAUCACUCGACGGCUCACCCCCAACCCCCUCCACCCUCCUCUAUUCCUCGUCUUCCCCACUCCCCCUGUUCGCCUGCUCAUCAGCGCGGUAACAACACCGGGUUGUGGGCAGACCGAGCAGCUCAGCGACGGAUCCUCUGAGAUGCUCUGCCGUUGUCGCCGCUUCAAGGUUGACACAUAUAUACGUAAACGUCUACGGUUAACGUGACCUCCUGGGGUAUGACGCCCGAAAGUGCUCCGCACUUUUUUUUCCACCCUCCGCCUUCCCCUGUCACUCUCUUUGCUUCUCCGUCCAUCUUCUUUUUUUUCUCAUUACGUCUCCCCUGUUCUUCUCACUCAGUCUAUGUGUCAAUUAUUGCUUUUUGCUCCCUGGUGAGAACUGUAUCUCUUUCACUAUGGCCAGAAUAAGCAACUGUAGAUUUCAUAUAGCACAUUAUGCAACGUUCAGCACUAUAUUGAACUAUAACACACUUUCGUUGUUGGAGCAAGAAAAUGGUUCUCUGAUUCUCUUUUCCAACCCCUUAAUAGACAAGAAUGGUGACAAAAAAGGGUGAGACAGAGAGAAAGAGAGAUAUACUCAGUUGUAGCUCUUCCAGGUUUCUCAGAGAGACUAGAGCUAGAGAGGGAGUGGGGUGAUGGGAAAGGGGGAUGUCUAGAUAUCCAGCCAUCCCCCAAUCCCAAGACAGCCACCCUCACGCCUCCUCAGACCCACCUUCCCCAGAAUAAGAGCUCAUCAAUUAGGGGCAGUGGGUCUGCGACCGUCCCUCAGCCUCGUCACGGCUCCACUAAGCUGCUGCUCAACCAGUGCACAGGAGAUGGAAGAGAGAAAGGAGGAGGAGGAGAGGAGCCAUAGGUAGGCCUCUUGCUGUCAGCUCCACUUAUAGGUAACGCUGCAUUCAUGGCCCUUAAUUAUAUGUGGGUUGUCAGCACUGGUAGAAAAACCCAGCCAGUGAGAGAGAGGGAGAGAGUCUAGGUCGUGGGAGAGUAUAGUUAGUGAGAUUGCCGAGCACGGACAAGACAGAGAUGACAGGCAGGCUACCCGUUCCGCUACUGCGACGACUCUUCCAUCCCAUCCCACCCUCCCUUCUCCGGUGCUAUUGUCCCCGGCCUGACUGGGACAGUUGACUGGGAAGGUGAGGUGGAGGCUCCCCGCUCCGUCUCACUGGCUAACGAUGGGGCCGUCCGUCAGUUACCUCUUGCCUCCAAAACAAAAGAGCUCAAAAAAAGAAAUCGAUAUAAUGCAUCCCCGUUUCAUUUCGCUCUCUCAGAUGAUUUGUGUGCACUUAGUCACGGCCACUGCACACAUCAUCUGGUUGUCUUCAGACGGAUCGCGUUUGGUAAUGUGUUGGGGUUUUCCGGUCUGUUUGUACUUUAUUGCUACUAAAACGCGUCAAGGUUAUUGUUUGUUACUCUCUGCCUCAUUACGUACAGUCUCCAAGCACUUUAUUAGGAAAACCAUAUUAAUGCUGGAUAGGGCCCUUCCUUUGCUCUCCGAACAGUCACAAGUCUUUGAGGCAUGGAUUUCACAAGAUGUUGGAAGGUUUGCUAUGAGAUUUUUGGUGCAUUGGGCAAUUCGCGAAUAUAAACAAAGCAACUCUGGAAUACAAAAACAAAUCUCAUUCAUUUCUGCAGUAAAAGAGAAUAAUAUAAAAUGGUAGACCAGCAUGGUCCUUCAGGAUGGUUCUUCCAGGUGACGGUCAAGGUGUACACAACACAUGCAUAGCAGUUAUAUGUCAUUGGUGAGAUGAAUCAUAGAGCCUGGAAGAAAAACAGAUGUCGAGUUCUCCAAGAUUCUCCACAAUUGUGUGGUGCACAGAAGAAGCUGAAACGUCAUUCAUAUGGCAAAUUUGUGCCUUGUUGCUCCUGUGGAACUAUAAUUGUUCCAAAGAGUCAAGUUUGUCUUGGUAAACCGCAACGGAGCAGAUUAGUGAUAUGGCACAAGGUACUGAAAAAACACAGGACUGUAUACAGUCAAAUAUUUAGGUUGAAGAAAUCUAAAACUGUGGGAGUCAUGUAAGGGGUGGCACUUUCUUUCUUUGUUCCUUAAUUUUAGUUUGGCCUGCUGGAGAUUUUGACAGAGCAGGCUAAACCAAAACAACUUGUUAACCUCAAAGCAUUUGUGCAAUGUCCGUAAAAAAGUACAAAAGUCGCUUGACAAUGUGAGAUCUCUCGCAAGAAAAACACGAAUGCCCACAACAUUAGUGUUUGGAACUGGUUCACCGAACAGUUUGGCAUGUUUCCCCUUAGGUAUGUUCAGUAAACACCACGAGAUCCUAUUGAGAAUAAUGAGCGUAGUGAUUCAACCUCAGAAUAAAUCUCAGUGCUCAGCCCCCCAGCCCAAACAACAGGCCCCCAUCAUGGCCUUCAGGGGCUGGGUCUCAAAAAACAGGCAACGGAGCACCUGGGACUGCACUCUAUAACCCCACAGCUUAUAACAUCUACAUGCACAAACACAUACACACACACAACCUGCUAACCAGGGUCAACACUAACAGACAUGCAGGACAGUUGUGUUUGAAGAGCAGGUCACUUUAUUUGUCAAAGUGGUUGUUUAUCAGUGUUUUCUAAUGAGUGUGGCUGGUUGGACUGCAGGAAGUAACCAUCAGAACCCAUCCAUCGCAAGUCAACUCACGUAAUUUAGCAGUUAGACUACAGUAAUUGGCCUUAAAACUGUUUUUUUUUUCUUUACAUGACAUCCUGUCUGGCCUUCAGAUAACAAAACAAACACCAUUCCUUUACAAAAUAGUUCUCAAUGAAUCUGUCUAGAAUUUGUCAAAAAUCAGUUUGCAUGAUCAUAGUUAUAUCUUACUCUAAACACUAUUCACUAUUCACCACAAAAAAAACAUCUUGGAAGAGGACGACCUCUUACUGUAUUUGCUGUACAUGGCCGUGCAGUUGCAAUGGUACAGAAGAAAAAUAGGAUCUUAGGAUCUGCCACAAUAGUGAAACAAAGAACUUAAUGUCAAUAGCAAAUGUACCAGAAUAGAUAUGUGAUGAAAAAGCAAGGAAAUCUUUACACUGUGUGCUCUUGCAUGUUCCGUUUUUAAGUUACAGUAGAAAACUCUUAAACCAUAAAUGAACCCUCUAUUUCUAAUAUAUAAUCUCUCUAAACUACAUCUGUCUGUGUGUCCAUUUGUGGCAAGAGGGUUCCGAAUAUAGUGGCUGACACUGACCCUGAUAGAGUCAAAUGAAAGUUGUUAGUGCCAGGUCAUUACACUGCUAAAGUGGGGUGUCACACUGAGGGUUAAAGGGGAGAUGACAUGGGUGGGCAUCUCUAUUUCACUCUCUACACCCAGAUCUAUCUAUCAAGCAAGAUACAGUAGCAUUUAUCUACAGAAAAUAUAAUUUUCACUAGCCAAAGACAUGGCCAAGUGUUUCUUGAGUCUCCACUCUUAUUGUUUCCUCUAAAAGCAAUCCCUUGAUUCUCUUCUGAGGUUUUCUAGUGAGCUGUGCUCAUUGAGCAGUUACAGUGUUAUUUAGGGUUUGACUUUUAAUAGAGCUGCCACUUUUCCAUGUUCCAUGUUGAUCUGAUUCAGUGUGUUUCAUAUAUUUCCCUAGUCCCUGACCCCACUAUGAGUACAAGGGAAAUGCAAUAUGGCAUGUACUUUCUUGCUAUUACUCAAGCCAUGAAAUUGUUUAGAAGUAUUCAGAGCUUAAAGCUCAAGAAUAUUUUACUGAGAGCAGUUAAGGAUCCUCGGGCGAGAAUGGUAGCGCUGGGCUGAUAUCCUUAGCCCCCAAGUCAGAAGGACAACAGGUGUUACUAGCAUCUUUAUGCGCUCGAGUUCUCAGUGGGCUGGCCCUCGUUUGAAGCUGUUAGAGAAUACAUGUGAAAGGGUUCGUUGGUUUACUGCUUGCACAUGUGUAUUGCCAGGUUUCUCCUGGAAUUCUAAAGAUGGUGGACAAUUGAUGUAACCUCCCAAGCAUUUAUUGUG
This is a long non-coding RNA of Scophthalmus maximus (turbot), 5510 nucleotides long. RefSeq lists it as uncharacterized. The transcript is spliced from 4 exons. Lineage: Eukaryota; Metazoa; Chordata; Actinopteri; Pleuronectiformes; Scophthalmidae. The record is from RefSeq and is a predicted model, not a curated record.